Molecule: ribosomal RNA, 460 nt
Filed under: uncultured bacterium
Lineage: Bacteria
Description: partial 16S ribosomal RNA
Rfam family: Bacterial small subunit ribosomal RNA
Source: RNAcentral
CCUACGGGUGGCAGCAGUGAGGAAUAUUGGUCAAUGGGCGUAAGCCUGAACCAGCCAAGUCGCGUGAGGGAUGAAGGUUCUAUGGAUCGUAAACCUCUUUUAUAAGGGAAUAAAGUGAGGGACGUGUCCCGUUUUGCAUGUACCUUAUGAAUAAGCAUCGGCUAACUCCGUGCAAGCAGCCGCGGUAAUACGGAGGAUCCGAGCGUUAUCCGGAUUUAUUGGGUUUACAGGGUGCGUAGGUGGCCUUUUAAUUCAGCGGUGAAAGUCUGUGGCUCAACCAUAGCAUUGCCGUUGAAACUGGGAGGCUUGAGUAUGUUUGAGGCAGGCGGAAUGCGUGGUGUAGCGGUGAAAUGCUUAGAUAUCACGCAGAACCCCGAUUGCGAAGGCAGCCUGCUAAGCCAUGACUGACGCUGAUGCACGAAAGCGUGGGGAUCAAACAGGAUUAGAUACCCUUGUAGUC